CUACGGGUUGCAGCAGACGAGAAAACUUUGCAAUGUGCGAAAGCACGACAAGGUUAAUCCGAGUGGUUUCUGCUAAAGGAACCUUUUGUCGGUCCUAGAAACACCGAUGAAUAAGGGGUGGGCAAGUUCUGGUGUCAGCCGCCGCGGUAAAACCAGCACCUCAAGUGGUCAGGAUGAUUAUUGGGCCUAAAGCAUCCGUAGCCGGCUCUGUAAGUUUUCGGUUAAAUCUGUACGCUUAACGUACAGGCUGCCGGGAAUACUGCAUAGCUAGGGAGUGGGAGAGGUAGACGGUACUCGGUAGGAAGGGGUAAAAUCCUUUGAUCUAUUGAUGACCACCUGUGGCGAAGGCGGUCUACCAGAACACGUCCGACGGUGAGGGAUGAAAGCUGGGGGAGCAAACCGGAUUAGAUACCCUUGUAGUC
RNAcentral lists this ribosomal RNA (422 nucleotides) under uncultured archaeon. Its description in RNAcentral is "partial 16S ribosomal RNA". It matches the Rfam family "Archaeal small subunit ribosomal RNA", at positions 323 to 746 of the family's 1478-position model. The record is from RNAcentral.